UUUUUUUGAUUUAAUUUUAAAGUCUAGUCUGCCCACUGAUUAUUUAAAUGGCCGCGGUAUAUUGACCGUGCUAAGGUAGCAUAAUCAUUAGUUUCUUAAUUAGAAGCUGGAAUGAAGGGCUGAAUGAAAAAAUAACUGUCUCUUUUUAAUAUAUAGAAUUUUAUUUUUAAGUUAAAAAUCUUAAAUAUUUUUAUAAGACGAGAAGACCCUUUAGAGUUUAAUAAUAAAUUUUUAUUUUUAUUUUAGAAUUUAAUAUAAAAAUAAUUUAUUUUUAUUUAGUUGGGGUGAUUUUAAAAUUUAAUUAACUUUUAAUUUUUAUUAUAUUUAUUUAUAAUUUUAUGAUCCAAUUUUUUUGAUUAUAAGAAUAAAUUACCUUAGGGAUAACAGCGUAAUUUUAUUGGAAAGUUCAAAUUGAUAAUAAAGAUUGCGACCUCGAUGUUGGAUUAAAA
This 449-nucleotide ribosomal RNA is filed under the name Sphaerometopa sp. IBE-JGZ-00994. RNAcentral describes it as "partial 16S ribosomal RNA". The record is from RNAcentral. Lineage: Eukaryota; Metazoa; Arthropoda; Insecta; Coleoptera; Chrysomelidae.